GGACCCUUGGCGCAGCCAGGGAGCGCAGCAGGCUUUUAACCUGUUAGUCCGGGGUUCAAAUCCCCGAGGGUCCG
Molecule: transfer RNA, 74 nt
Filed under: Promethearchaeota archaeon
Lineage: Archaea; Promethearchaeati; Promethearchaeota
Description: Candidatus Lokiarchaeota archaeon tRNA-Lys
Rfam family: tRNA
About the family: Transfer RNA (tRNA) molecules are approximately 80 nucleotides in length. Their secondary structure includes four short double-helical elements and three loops (D, anti-codon, and T loops).
Source: RNAcentral